RNAcentral lists this ribosomal RNA (253 nucleotides) under uncultured bacterium. Its description in RNAcentral is "partial 16S ribosomal RNA". It matches the Rfam family "Bacterial small subunit ribosomal RNA", at positions 524 to 776 of the family's 1533-position model. The record is from RNAcentral.
UACGUAGGGGGCAAGCGUUGUCCGGAAUUACUGGGCGUAAAGCGCGUGUAGGCGGCCCUGCAAGUCGGAUGUGAAAUCCCACGGCUCAACCGUGGAAGUGCAUUCGAAACUGCAGGGCUAGAGUCCUGGAGAGGAAGGUGGAAUGCUUGGUGUAGAGGUGAAAUUCGUAGAUAUCAAGCGGAACACCGGUGGCGAAGGCGGCCUUCUGGACAGUGACUGACGCUGAGACGCGAAAGCGUGGGGAGCAAACAGG